AGUGAACGCUGGCGGUAUGCCUAACACAUGCAAGUCGAGCGGCAGCACAGUAAGAGCUUGCUCUUACGGGUGGCGAGUGGCGGACGGGUGAGGAAUACAUCGGAAUCUACUUUUUCGUGGGGGAUAACGUAGGGAAACUUACGCUAAUACCGCAUACGACCUACGGGUGAAAGCAGGGGAUCUUCGGACCUUGCGCGAUUGAAUGAGCCGAUGUCGGAUUAGCUAGUUGGCGGGGUAAAGGCCCACCAAGGCGACGAUCCGUAGCUGGUCUGAGAGGAUGAUCAGCCACACUGGAAGUGAGACACGGUCCAGACUCCUACGGGAGGCCGCAGUGGGGAAUAUUGGACAAUGGGCGCAAGCCUGAUCCAGCCAUACCGCGUGGGUGAAGAAGGCCUUCGGGUUGUAAAGCCCUUUUGUUGGGAAAGAAACGCAGCAGGUUAAUACCCCGCUGUUCUGACGGUACCCAAAGAAUAAGCACCGGCUAACUUCGUG
This 492-nucleotide ribosomal RNA is filed under the name uncultured bacterium. RNAcentral's name for it is "partial 16S ribosomal RNA". It matches the Rfam family "Bacterial small subunit ribosomal RNA", at positions 29 to 507 of the family's 1533-position model. The record is from RNAcentral.